RNAcentral lists this ribosomal RNA (473 nucleotides) under uncultured bacterium. RNAcentral describes it as "bacterial SSU rRNA". It matches the Rfam family "Bacterial small subunit ribosomal RNA", at positions 28 to 507 of the family's 1533-position model. The record is from RNAcentral.
GAUGAACGCUGGCGGCGUGCUUAACACAUGCAAGUCGAGCGGAAAUAUUUAAAAGUUUACUUUUAAAUAUUUUAGCGGCGGACGGGUGAGUAACGUGUGGGUAACCUGCCAUAUACUGGGGAAUAAUCAUUUGAAAAGAUGACUAAUACCGCAUGUCGUCACUAAGGGGCAUCCCUUGGUGAAAAAAGGAGUAAUCCGGUAUAUGAUGGACCCGCAUCUGAUUAGCUAGUUGGUGAGAUAACAGCUCACCAAGGCGACGAUCAGUAGCCGACCUGAGAGGGUGAUCGGCCACAUUGGGACUGAGACACGGCCCAAACUCCUACGGGAGGCAGCAGUGGGGAAUAUUGCACAAUGGGCGAAAGCCUGAUGCAGCAACGCCGCGUGAAGGAAGAAGGGUUUCGGCUCGUAAACUUCUAUCAAUGGGGAAGAAACAAAUGACGGUACCCAAAUAAGAAGCCCCGGCUAACUACGUG